UUGCACGCUGGCGGCAGGCCUCACACAUGCAAGUCGAGCGGAUGAGUGGAGCUUGCUCCAUGAUUCAGCGGCGGACGGGUGAGUAAUGCCUAGGAAUCUGCCUGGUAGUGGGGGACAACGUUUCGAAAGGAACGCUAAUACCGCAUACGUCCUACGGGAGAAAGUGGGGGAUCUUCGGACCUCACGCUAUCAGAUGAGCCUAGGUCGGAUUAGCUAGUUGGUGAGGUAAAGGCUCACCAAGGCGACGAUCCGUAACUGGUCUGAGAGGAUGAUCAGUCACACUGGAACUGAGACACGGUCCAGACUCCUACGGGAGGCAGCAGUGGGGAAUAUUGGACAAUGGGCGAAAGCCUGAUCCAGCCAUGCCGCGUGUGUGAAGAAGGUCUUCGGAUUGUAAAGCACUUUAAGUUGGGAGGAAGGGCAGUAAGUUAAUACCUUGCUGUUUUGACGUUACCAACAGAAUAAGCACCGGCUAACUUCGUG
RNAcentral lists this ribosomal RNA (483 nucleotides) under uncultured bacterium. RNAcentral describes it as "partial 16S ribosomal RNA". It matches the Rfam family "Bacterial small subunit ribosomal RNA", at positions 30 to 507 of the family's 1533-position model. The record is from RNAcentral.